This 97-nucleotide small RNA is filed under the name Vibrio spartinae. RNAcentral's name for it is "Qrr". It matches the Rfam family "Qrr RNA". From Rfam's summary of the family: This family represents a set of small RNAs (the Qrr RNAs) that are thought to be involved in the regulation of quorum sensing in Vibrio species. It is believed that these RNAs, guided by a protein, Hfq, can mediate the destabilisation of the quorum-sensing master regulators LuxR/HapR mRNAs. Lineage: Bacteria; Pseudomonadati; Pseudomonadota; Gammaproteobacteria; Vibrionales; Vibrionaceae. The record is from RNAcentral.
UGACCCUCAGGGGUCACCUAGCCAACUGACGUUGUUAGUGAAUAAAGUUAUUCACAUUCUGACAGCCAAUAGAUACCUUUCUAUUGGCUAUUUUUUU